CAGCAACAUUCCCGGGAGGACAAACAUUAUCCCAUAAAUCCCUUCGAGAAAUGGUCAUCACUAGGGUGGAUUGAUUCACGGACGUCACAGAAAAUUCUUGAUUAUUUAUAGCUAUAAUAGGGAACUGAUCUUCUUUGCACUGGAGCUGGAAUCCUUCAUGACGGCAGAUUUCAGGUAUCUCAUCUCUCCAGAAAGGAUAAUGAAGAUUUGACAGGCGUCCACACUGGAAUGGUGUGACGCACUCUCUAUAAUGCUCAUCUUCUUCACAAUAAGAUGUUGGAACAAAUACUAACAGAAAGAAAAGGGUGGUGAUGAAGGGCACAUGGGGUAGCAGGAAGACAUGGGCACCCAUUUUUUUUUUUUUCCUCAGAUAAGAUGAA
Molecule: unclassified non-coding RNA, 380 nt
Filed under: Hevea brasiliensis (rubber tree)
Lineage: Eukaryota; Viridiplantae; Streptophyta; Magnoliopsida; Malpighiales; Euphorbiaceae
Source: RNAcentral